This 8655-nucleotide long non-coding RNA is filed under the name Citrus x clementina. RNAcentral describes it as "Citrus clementina (C. clementina) long non-coding RNA (CCLE_LNC004594)". The record is from RNAcentral. Lineage: Eukaryota; Viridiplantae; Streptophyta; Magnoliopsida; Sapindales; Rutaceae.
AUUAAAGAGAAAAAAAGAUUAUAACUAUUGUGAAAUUAUGGGUGAAUUCCCAAAUUACAGUAUUAAUGGAUUGUUUUGUCAUACCACAACAUCUAAGUCUAAAUCUAGAUAGAUUCCAAUAUCAAAGUGUGAACUCCACUUUAGAAGCGUUUGGGGCAGCUAGGCUGCCACUGCGCAGCUGCUCCCCAUGCCUAUUCUAGAGAAUAUUUCCUUAAAAUAUGGCAUGUGAAGCAGCUGCACGGUAGCAGCGCAGCUGCCCCAAAAGGACUAUUUGUAUAUUAUAUUGUUUUAUUGGAGUAGCAAGGGAUAUAAAUAGGAAGAGAGGUGUAAACUUCUAAUUAUCUGCUGCACCUCUCAUUUCCAUUACUCUGUCUCUUCAAUCUCAUCAUCAAUUUACUCUCUUUCAAGUUUUUAAUCACUUCUCUUAUUAGAUAUAUAAUUGUCUUUUUGUUAGCUGAUAUGUAAAUUCAUAACAAUAACUACAUUAUUAAAAAGAAAAUAAAGGGAUAGUUAAAUUUGGUAACGUAAGUUAUAGGAAAUGGGAUUGAGUAAUUAGUAUUACAUCUUCUGAAUUAGUAAGUAAUAUAUUUAUGAAAUUUGAGCAAUUUAUGUUUCAACUUUGUUAUAUACAUAUAUACACACACACACAUAUAUCCAUUUUGAUAGUUGGUUUUAAGAGAAAUCUAAGUACAUAAGAAUCCCUAAAUACCCCAACAAAUCUGUGAAUGAACUCGGAUCUGAGUAGAUUAUUAGAAUUACUAUUAUAUAUUCUAUGAAUCACUUAUGCUCGAUAGCUUGGUUUGGUAACAUAUUAUGAUUAUUCAUGUAUGAUAUAGAUGUAUCAAUGGAUCUUAAAACCAAACCAAAUUGCAAGAUGAGUAGAAAGAUCUAAUUUACCAAUUUCUUAAAUUCAACAAGCUACAAUUGCAGUUUUGUGCUAAUUUUAUGACGUUUCAGUUUAAGACUUACAAAACUGGAAAACAAACCGUUACAUUGUGGCUCAUAAAAUCUACAUCCACAGCCCCGCAGAACUUGCAUCCUUGCAGCUAAACCUGACACCUCAAGUUCAAGGAUGACGCUAGUCAAUGAACAAUUCACAUCUUUGCUGUUGUAAAUACCAAUUACGUAUGGCCUAAUAGACAUAAAUGGCAUAGCAAGAGUGGCUGAAAGGUUGCUAUUAUCCUUUGUCUAGGGGCAGCCAAAGAGUUGCCAUAAAAACACCAGCACUACAGCAGCUGUAUCAAAUUUCCAUACGGUUCACUAGUUAUUAAGAACAUGCCCAAAAUUUAAGCGAAAGUGCAACAAAAAUCCCAUCAAAACAGAAUUCACAUGCAUAGUUCGUACAAAAUCCUGUCCACGUCAUAAUGGCAUCUCAAAUAAUUAGACAAAUCAAAGCGCAAGACGGAACCCAAAAAGUUUUAAAUAAUCAAAACGGUGAACAAGAAGAGAAAAAAGUAAGGGCUAUGCAUAAAGUAAAGAAAAAACCAAUUAAGAGAAAGCAGUGGGAGUGGUGAACAAAAAAGAAAAAAAAAGGUGGAACCAGCAAAUUAGUAGCAUCAGAUGUUCAAACAAUCCUAAUAGUUUCCGAAAACAUGCCAAAAUAGUUUAAAAUAAAACCACUUUCAUGGCUGAUGUUCAUAUAUCUCUACAACGAGGAGAGGCCAUAAAUGCCAGGAUUUUGUUCAAGUCUCUCUAGUUUCCAAAAGCAUAAAUCAAAUACUGAAGAAGAUGACACUGGAAAAAAAUACUGAGAAGGAUAAGUCAAGAAAAAAUACCGAGAAGGGAUUUUCCUUUUUUCUCUUUUCAUUCCUUUCAAUGACCUGUUGUGAGAGGAAAAGGGAUUUCCGAAACACAAUAUCAUAAACCUUCUCAGUCCACAUAUGAAAAGAAAUGAAAUUAGCUAACACAGCACAAUCAUCAACUCAAUGAGCAGAGAAGUAGAAGAAAGAAAAAUAAUCCAAUAAGAACGAGUUUGAAGCAAAUGACCUAAUGAGCAGAACAAUGUGAAACAACAAGGAAAAAGGAGAGUUUAACUGUUUGAGCUCAAAAGCCCUCAUCCAAGACACGAAAAGUAUGCCAACAAAUCACUGCAAAAAAUUAUCCCAAUGGUUGAUGGAGAUGCAAAUUACUGUGACAACUCCUCAUCAUUGCCAAUUUUCCCAUAAAAGGAGAUUAACUGAAAAGCCUAAAUGAAUUUAAAGCAAAUGGAAGUUGAAAAUUCAAAAUAACAGCUCCUUAUCAUUGCCAGCUUUCCCAUUGAAAACAACAUUUUAUCAUAAUGAACCCAUUGUUCAUCAUCACUACGAGCUCAAACCAACAAGCAAGCAAGAGCACUGUUCACUAAUUGUGAAGACAUGCACAAAGAAGUUACAGACAAGCACUUGAGAGUACUAUCGACCAUAUUAGAGAAUUCAAAAUUCCAUAUAAUGUGCCUUUAACAUAUUUCAUCAGUAGGCAAAAUUACUUUCGUAGCAAUGUCAAAUUCCAAAAAUCAACAACAAUCAUCGCCAAGCUAAUUAGGCCAAGUAGCAAAAGCAUGAAUUGAAUAUUGAAAAUAGUGCUUAUUAAUGCUGAGAGAACCGCGAGAGAAACAACAUACAACUCUCAGCAUUCUAGUUUAAAAAAAAAAAAGAAUUAAAAGGGAAAACACCGGUAUGAAAGGAAAAAAAAAAAGUGAGAUACUCCUCUCCUCCUCUCCCUCGCUUCCUCACGAGCUCACUCCUUCCCUCUCUCGCAGAUUACUGCUCGUUGCUCCUCGACUCCCUCGCAGAUCUCCAAAUUCAACUCGGGUGCUUCUCUCCAUCUCCAAACUGAAGUCCGGCCUCUCUCUCCAUUUCCCUCUCUUCGUCUCCAAACUGAAGUCUGGCCACUCUCUCCAUCUCCCUCUCUAAAGUAAGUCGCUGCCGUUUCUCUUCUACCGUUUGAUAUAUGUUGGUAAUUAUUUGGUAGUUAUUUUGUUGGUAAUUAUUUGGUGAAAAAUACCGGAUAAUAUAUGUAUUACCCAUGUUGAAAAAAAAAAAUCAUUGUAUUCUACUUGCUUUUUCUGGAAGUACUUUAGAAUUGUCAUAGCAUCUCCUUCUACAAUCUUUUUCUAGAACUGAGACAUUUUUAUAUUCAUCAGCUUCAACAAUAAUAGAAUUAAAAUUUCAAGCAAUGUUAAUUUCCGCACAAUCAUUCAUUUCAAUAUGCUUUCUUGCCCUAAUGUUACGGACUCAACCAGUUUUCACAAUAGGUUUCAGCACAUCAGUAGAUUUACUUUCUGACUUACCACUGCGACCACAUGCAAACAUUGCGUAUUUUAUAAUUUUAUCACUCCUUUUUUUACUAGUUAACUUCUUUACAGGAACCCUUUCUUGUUUACCAUAGGCAUUGUAAAAUUGCCACAUGUCCUCAUGACUAUCGAAUAACAUCCCAAGAGUCGGCUCAUAUUUUUCCGAUUGCACAUCUUCGACCCUACCUUCAUUUUCCAAAUUUUUCAUUUCUACAAAAUAAUUAUUAUUUCUAAAAAUUUAAAUUUAAAUUCUAAAUGGAACCAAUAUUUAAAUAAUUCUAAAUCAAACACAUAAUUUAAAUAAAAAGAUUUCUAAAUCAACACAAAAUUUAAAUUAGUAAAAAUUCUAAAUCCAACACAAAAUUUAAAUUUAAAAAAAUUCUAAACCUAACAUAGAAUUUAAAUUAAAAAAAUUUCUAAAUCCAACACAAAAUUAAAAUUAAGAAAAUUUCUAAAUCAAACACAUUUAUCAUUUAACUAGUAAAUGCAGGCACAUUUAUAUUAUUAUGAUAUAUAACAAAAAAAUAAUAUUCAAAAUAAAAAAUCACUCUUUAUAUUCAGGUAAUUUACCAACUAGGUAUUUUGUUUCCAGAUCUAGAUCGGGUAGCACUUCCGCGUUUGUGUAGAUUCAAAUCGGCUACUAAAUGGCAACUAUAGUAAGCAAAAAAUUUAAAUGGCGACCAGAGUAAUGCUUGUGAUAAGCAAUGAAUAAGCGAAUCGGUAAUGCUUGUGAUGAGAAGCACUACUCGUGAUGAGAAGUAAAGCGUGAAAGUGUUUUCGUUUCAUGUGGGGAAGAGAAAAAAUACUUUGUGAUGAGCAAAAGUGGUUUGUGAUAGAGCAAAAGCGUAAUGAAAAGUAAAGAGAAUAAUAAUAUAUUAUUCAAAGCUGAAAUUUUACAUGGGGAGGGGGAGGGGGAGAACACCCAAAACGGCAGCUUAAAACACUCGAAAGGCUGCUUUGUGCUGCCGUUUCAUCACGAGUAGUAAUGAUAUAUUAUUAUUACUUUUUCUCUCCCUUUACGUGAAAUGACAGCUUUAAAUAAUAUAUUAUUAUUCUCUUUACUUCUCAUCACGUUUUUACUCUAUCACAAACCAUUUUUCCUCUCCCCCACCUAAAACGAAAACACUUUUGCUCAUCACAAAGCAGCCUUCACGCUUUACUUCUCAUUUCAAGCAUUACCGAUUCGCUCAUUCAUCGCUCAUCACAAGCAUUACUCUGGUCGUCAUUCAUCCACAAGCAUUCAAAUUUUUUGCUUACUCUAGUCGCCAUUCAGCUCAACUCGUGGCCGAUCUAAAUCUACACAAACGCGAAAGCGUUGCCCGAUCUAAAUCUGGAAGCAAAACACCUAACUGGUUAUAAAGAGUGAUUUGUUAUUUUGAAUAUUAUUUUUUGUUAUAUUAUACUAAAAUGAUAAAUGUGUUUGAUUUUAAAAAAAAAUUAAUUUAAAUUUUGUGUUGGAUUUAGAAUUUUUACUAAUUUAAAUUAUGUGUUCGAUUUAGAAAUCUUUUUAUUUAAAUUUUGUGUUCGAUUUAGAAUUUUUUUAAUUUAAAUUUUUAGAAAUUUAAUGGAUUAAAUUAUUGUUGCAUCAAAAUUUUGUAAAAAUUUAUAAUAAUUUAUUCUUAAUACGAAUAUUAAUUAUUUUGUAGAAAUGAAAAAUUUAGAAAAUGAAGGUAGAGUCGAAGAUGUGCAAUCGGAAAAAUAUGAGCCGACUUUUGAUAUGUUAUUUGAUAGUCAUGAGGAAAUGUGACAAUUUUAUAAAGCCUAUGAUAAACAAUAAGGGUUUCUUGUGAAGAAACUAACAAAUAAGAAAGAGAGUGAUGAAAUUGUAAGAUAUGCGACGUUUGCAUGUGGCCGUAAUGACAAGUCAGAAAGUAGAUCUACUGAUGUGCUGAAACCGAAACCUAUUGUGAAAAUUGAUUGUGAUGCUACAAUUGGAGGUUGUGUUAAAUGAAGAUGGAAAAUGAGUUCUUCAAACUUUAAACAUUCAACACAAUCAUGGAUUGAGUCCGUAAUGUUAGUGCAAGUGCAAAAAAGCGUAUUGAAAUGAAUGAUUGUGCGAGAAUUAACAUUUUUCGAAAUUUUAAUUCUAUUGUUGUUGAAGCUGGUGGAUAUGAAAAUGUCUCAUUUCUAGAAGGAGAUGCUAUGACAAUUCUAAAGUACUUCCAGAAAUAAGUAAGCAUUGUUUUCAACAUAGUUUUUCAACAUGUGUAAUACAUAUAUCAAUCGGUAAUUAUCACCAAAUAAUUACCAACAAAAUAAUUACCAAAAAAAUACCACCAAAAUAAUUACAAAUAUAUACCAAACAAUAAAAGAGAAACGACAGCAACUUACUUUGGGGAGGGAGAGAAGCGCCCGAGUUGAAUUUGGAGAUCUACGAGGGGGACGAGGAGCAGCGAGCAGAGAGCAGUAAUCUGCGAGCGAGGGAGAGAGGGAAGGAGUGAGCUCAUGAGGAAGUGAGGGAGAGGAGGAGAGGAGUAGAUCUCACUUUUUUUGUUCUUUUAUACCGGCGUUUUCCCUUUUAAUUCUUUUGUUUUUUGUUUUAACUAGAAUGCUGAGAGCUGCUAAUGGGAGAAACAAUAUUAAUUAUGUAUGCCAUUUCUCUCGAGGUUCUCUCAGCAUUCUAGUUAAUAAGCACUACUCCACAAUAACCAAAAGUGACAGAUUCUAUUAUUUUUCAGAAAACAAAGACUUCAAGGACAGCAAAUUUGUUCUUUUCACGGAGAAACCACCAAAAUAAUUACAAACAUAUACCAAACGAUAGAAGAGAAAUGACAGCAACUUACUUUGGAGAGGAAGAGAAGCGCCCGAGUUGAAUUUGAAGUUCUACAAGGUUCUCUCAGCAUUCUACUUAAUAAGCACUACUCCACAAUAACCAAAAGUAACAGAUUCUAUUAUUUCUCAAAAAACAAAGACUUCAAGGACAACAAAUUUGUUCUUUUCAUGGAGAAACCCCCUCCCCCAAAAACAAAAGCAGAAAACCCACAAAACAAGAAGUAAGCACUAGUACUUUUCACUAGCUAUACAAACAUGCCGGAAAAAGGUGAACAUAACAUGUCUCCAAUUAUAUUUCACCAAUAGGCAAAGUACUUCCAAUUUUCAUUUGCCAGCUGCUUGUUUCAUAACUAUUUCAAAUUCUAAAAACAAUUGAAUCCAAGGAACAAUAAAAAUCACCACCGAGCUAAUAACAAUCAGCAGCAUUAGCAGAUGCAGCUGCAGCAGCUCCUCAUCAUUGCCAAUUUUCCCAUUAUAAAUAAAUAUAUAUAUAUACUUUUUAAAUCUAUUUAGCCAUUUCAAAUUCAUCUCUUCUAUUUUUAAUGGGAAAACUGACAAUGAUGAGGAGCUAUUAUUUUCAAUUAACUAUGUUUAUUUAUUUUUAUUUUUUUCAAAAUACGUUUAGCCUUUUCAAAUUCAUCUCCUCUAUUUUUAACGGGAAAACUGACAAUGACGCCGAGCUACUGUUUUCAACUUUCUAUAUAUAUAUAUAUAUAUAAUUGAAAAGAAUAGCUCUUCAGUUUUCCCGUUAAGAAUAAAGGAGAUUAAUUUGAAAAGUCUAAAUAGAUUUAAAAGAAAUAGAAAUAGGAAAUUUAAAAUAUGAGAACCAACAAGCAAGCACUGUUCAUUGUUAAAGAACACAUGCCCAAAGAAGUUAAAAAUAAGCUCUGGAGAAGAUAAUCCUCCAUAAUAGAAUUCAAUGUACAUAUACUGUCAUUCUGUCAACAGAAUGUCCUGCCUCCAACUACAUUUCACCAUUAGGAAAAAGUAGCUUUAUCAUUAUCAUCUAGGGUUGUCUUAGGCACACAGUUCACAGCAGAAGGUGCAGCAAUUUACUAACCAACCAAUUACAGUUUCAAUGAAACCUCUUUUGAACAACAGAAACAAAAAUUAAUUGGAAGUGGCCUGUAGUUCCUCAUCAAGACGGGCUCAAACCAAAAAGUGAGCACUAGUACUUUUCACUAAUUACAGAAACAUGCCCCAAAAAGUUAAAAAUAAGCACUUGAGAGGAUUAUCCAUCAAAAUAGAAUUUGCACCUACAUUUCACCUACAUUUCACCAAUAUCCUGUCUCGAACAACUACAUUUCACCAAUAGGAAAAACUAAAUUCCCAAAACCAUUGAAUCCAAGAAACAACAACAAUCACCACCAAGAUAAUUAGGCCAAAUAGAAGAAGAAUGAACCCAAUACCGAAAAUGAUGAGCACUACCAACUCAAAAAAUUGAAAACAGAAGAUCACAUAUUGCAACUACUAGCUUCAUACCCCCACUUUCGCAUAAUGAAUAAGAAACUGCUUAUUAGCAAACAAUCACGAAACUUUUUUCAAAAAGGCAAAUACAGGGCAAAUACUUUAUGUACUAAACAGUGUCCAAGUGGACUAGACAUUACUUGGCAACAUUAGAACAACCUUUCAAGAAAUCCAGAGAUACAUAAUAAGAACAGUAACCACUUCCCUUUAAACUAUUCUUAUCGAUAGACAUGCAUAUAAAACUCAGCGUUUCAUUUAAAACCAAAGGCAACAGAUUUCUACUAUUUCCCCGCAUUCUCAGAAAACAAGACUUGAAAAACUACCAAAAUAGCGGCUAGUGACAAAUAUUAAGCUCGCCAGCAAAGUUGUUCCUUUCAUGAAGGGGUCAUAGACGAAAAUGCAGAUCUUCCCCACUUCACAGAAAUCACAAAAAAUAAGGGAUAAAUACCCAAUUUUUUUCUAUUUCUGCCAAAUAUUCUCUUUGUAACAAACCCAACAUCGCAAAUUCAACAAAAAAGAAAAAAUAUCCAGUAUGUAAGUAGAUUUAGACUAAAGAAAAUUGCAUAAACAGGAAACUCCGCAAGAUGAACAAUACAAAAUCUUUGCUUUUCCUUUGAUCUUUUCCAACAAAGGAAACCGAAGGCUGAAUGGUACAAGAAUAUAAAAACGUAUCAUCGAAUUAAAACAGUAAAAGUAAAGAACCAUGCCCCAAUCUGUUAGCAACUAUCCCAACGACCAAAAUCGGACGGAGACGUUUGGCCCGGGAUUGAGAGAAUGAAAAAGAAAUUGAAAAUUGGGCCUUUGAUUUUGAAGGGUCCAACUGUACAAUACGCACGUAUUUAUAGGCUAAUUUGUCGUCAAAAAAACGCAACCGCGUUUUGCGUUUUUCUGUAAAAGAAAGAAAUGCGUUUUUAAUCGUUUGACACUUCAUAUAACAACACUGCCGUUUCCAAACGACAUGUCGUAAUCAGUUCCGAGAUCUAGUUAGGAGAGUUCAAACAUUUACGUUACUGAACGACCGUCUUACAAUGUACUGUUAGAACUGAGUGUAUAAUUAUAAAUGUGACAUCAGAAUGCAAAUAUAAUCUUUUGCCAUAUACUGAUUCAAAGUACUUCCAAGUAUUAUUAUUAAUAAUUAUUAAAAU